Molecule: unclassified non-coding RNA, 899 nt
Filed under: Bombus terrestris (buff-tailed bumblebee)
Lineage: Eukaryota; Metazoa; Arthropoda; Insecta; Hymenoptera; Apidae
Description: misc RNA ENSBTSG00005023688.1
Source: RNAcentral
GUACAGGCAUCACCGUUAAGAUACGCAUCGAUAACCCGCCUGAAGCCAGCCGUCCAUUCAGAAGAUCGACGGCCCACAGGCUGCUGGAGUGAUUCUGUUGGGCAUGUAAAACGGUUCGCGUGGAUUCGGAACGGUCAGAGACCGCUCUCGUUCAGUUACGCAACAAACGAGACCGAGCACGACAACGUAGACGAGGACGAAAGACGACGACGACGUAACGCCAAUGGAAGUCCGGCAAUUAGUUAAGAAGACGAGCAAUCGACUUCCUGCAGCUCUUUCAUCGACGUUGAUAGGGUGACCGUCGACGAUGAGGCAACCGGCUAACGGAACACAGGCUGUUAGGCAACCGGGGACAUCGUGCUCGAGACUCUGUUCUCUCUACCGUUUCUGACAACUGUUGCACCGUUCUCGUGCGGAUAUAGAUGAUGCAGAAGUUUGGAAUUCUAUUCCCUUUGUAUUGUGAUCUUACCAUUGGUUACGUGUGUCCGAAGCAGCGGACUGGAUGUAGAAAUUGAUCGAUGUGUGAGAAACACGGAACGUUUAAACGUGUAGAGUGCAGGGAAAGGUAGCGCUUCAGACUCCUCCAGGCAGUUUUGAAAUUGAUUGAGAUGGGAGAAUAGUUGUUACUUCGUAUUUUUAAAGUUAAUUGCACCAAUACAGGAUUGCAAGGCGAUGGCUUAGAUUUAAAUUGGUAACUUUCCUUCUUGGAAUUUGUGUACAUUUCGUUAAAAAGUUUAAGGUCUGUUAAUCCUCGUCGCCCAUUAAGAUUGUUCUAUGCUAUUGUUGAAGGUAGGAUCGAAGUUAAGUACGUAUCUAGAGUUUGAUUGGUUCACAGUAACGGUAUAUAAAUAAUGGUGAAACUUGAAAAGUAUUAACAAACUACUGGAGAACAACGAUAC